This 466-nucleotide ribosomal RNA is filed under the name uncultured bacterium. RNAcentral's name for it is "partial 16S ribosomal RNA". It matches the Rfam family "Bacterial small subunit ribosomal RNA", at positions 30 to 507 of the family's 1533-position model. The record is from RNAcentral.
CGACCGCUGGCGGCGUGCUUAACACAUGCAAAUCGAACGGAAAGGCCCUGCUUUUGUGGGGUGCUCGAGUGGCGAACGGGUGAGUAACACGUGAGUAACCUGCCCUUGACUUUGGGAUAACUUCAGGAAACUGGGGCUAAUACCGGAUAGGAGCUCCUGCUGCAUGGUGGGGGUUGGAAAGUUUCGGCGGUUGGGGAUGGACUCGCGGCUUAUCAGCUUGUUGGUGGGGUAGUGGCUUACCAAGGCUUUGACGGGUAGCCGGCCUGAGAGGGUGACCGGCCACAUUGGGACUGAGAUACGGCCCAGACUCCUACGGGAGGCAGCAGUGGGGAAUAUUGCACAAUGGGCGGAAGCCUGAUGCAGCAACGCCGCGUGCGGGAUGACGGCCUUCGGGUUGUAAACCGCUUUCGCCUGUGACGAAGCGUGAGUGACGGUAAUGGGUAAAGAAGCACCGGCUAACUACGUG